GAUGAACGCUGGCGGCGUGCCUAAUACAUGCAAGUCGAGCGAACAGACGAGUAGCUUGCUCUUCUGACGUUAGCGGCGGACGGGUGAGUAACACGUGGAUAACCUCCCUAUAAGACUGGGAUAAAUUCGGGAAACCGGAGCUAAUACCGGAUAAUAUAUUGAAUCGCAUGGUUCCAUAGUGAAAGACGGUUUUGCUGUCACUUAUAGAUGGAUCCGCGCCGCAUUAGCUAGUUGGUAAGGUUACGGCUUACCAAGGCAACGAUGCGUAGCCGACCUGAGAGAGUGAGCGGCCUAGCUGGAACGGGGGCGCGGACCAGACUCCUGCGAGAGGCAGCAGUAGCGAAUCUUCCGGAAAGGGCGAAAGCCUGACGGAGCAACACCGCGUGAAUGAUGAAGGUCUUCAGGUCGUAAAACUCUGUUAUUAGGGAAGAACAAAUGUGUAAUUAACUAUGCACGACUUGACAGUACCUAAGCAGAAAGCCACGGCUAACUACGUG
Molecule: ribosomal RNA, 497 nt
Filed under: uncultured bacterium
Lineage: Bacteria
Description: partial 16S ribosomal RNA
Rfam family: Bacterial small subunit ribosomal RNA
Source: RNAcentral